UGGGGAAUAUUGGACAAUGGGCGAAAGCCUGAUCCAGCAAUGCCGCGUGAGUGAUGAAGGCCUUAGGGUUGUAAAGCUCUUUUACCCGGGAUGAUAAUGACAGUACCGGGAGAAUAAGCUCCGGCUAACUCCGUGCCAGCAGCCGCGGUAAUACGGAGGGAGCUAGCGUUGUUCGGAAUUACUGGGCGUAAAGCGCACGUAGGCGGCUUUGUAAGUCAGAGGUGAAAGCCUGGAGCUCAACUCCAGAACUGCCUUUGAGACUGCAUCGCUUGAAUCCAGGAGAGGUGAGUGGAAUUCCGAGUGUAGAGGUGAAAUUCGUAGAUAUUCGGAAGAACACCAGUGGCGAAGGCGGCUCACUGGACUGGUAUUGACGCUGAGGUGCGAAAGCGUGGGGAGCAAACAGG
Molecule: ribosomal RNA, 404 nt
Filed under: Pseudomonas sp.
Lineage: Bacteria; Pseudomonadati; Pseudomonadota; Gammaproteobacteria; Pseudomonadales; Pseudomonadaceae
Also listed under: 5 other names
Description: partial 16S ribosomal RNA
Rfam family: Bacterial small subunit ribosomal RNA
Source: RNAcentral